UGAAAACACUAGGGGUGUUCGUAGAAGAACUGAGAUUUGCUUGCGCAGCAAUGUCCCUUGGAACCUGUAAGUUCAUACUUGCGAAGGAAAGUGUAAAAAUAUCAAC
This 106-nucleotide non-coding RNA is filed under the name Paucilactobacillus oligofermentans. RNAcentral describes it as "Lactobacillus oligofermentans TPP sequence". It matches the Rfam family "TPP riboswitch aptamer (THI element)". From Rfam's summary of the family: Vitamin B(1) in its active form thiamin pyrophosphate (TPP) is an essential coenzyme that is synthesised by coupling of pyrimidine and thiazole moieties in bacteria. RNAcentral also lists the same sequence under 1 other name. The record is from RNAcentral. Lineage: Bacteria; Bacillati; Bacillota; Bacilli; Lactobacillales; Lactobacillaceae.